Molecule: ribosomal RNA, 253 nt
Filed under: uncultured bacterium
Lineage: Bacteria
Description: partial 16S ribosomal RNA
Rfam family: Bacterial small subunit ribosomal RNA
Source: RNAcentral
UACGAAGGGGGCUAGCGUUGUUCGGAAUUACUGGGCGUAAAGCGCAUGUAGGCGGCGAUUCAAGUCGGGGGUGAAAUCCUGAGGCUCAACCUCAGAACUGCCUUCGAUACUGUCUUGCUAGAGUAUGGAAGAGGUAAGUGGAACUGCAAGUGUAGAGGUGAAAUUCGUAGAUAUUUGCAAGAACACCAGUGGCGAAGGCGGCUUACUGGUCCAUUACUGACGCUGAGAUGCGAAAGCGUGGGGAGCAAACAGG